UGGCAUUCAGAAGUGAUACACAUAAGGAAGAGAGUUUUUAUGGAUGUCAACUUCUUUAUUAUAAGGAACACAACGUUAAGUGUUGGCUUCAAUUCAGCACUAUUUUACUGUUGAGUGUUGGCUUCUAUUCAGCACUGUUUAACUGUCGGCUUCUAUUAGCCUUAACAGUUAAAUAGUGCUGACUGAAGGCCAACACGUAACAGUUAAAUAGUGAGAAUAGAAGCCAACACUUAAUAGUUAAAUAGAGCUGAAUUGAAGCCAACACUUCACAGUUAAAUAGUGCUGAAUAGAAGUCAGCACUUAACAGUUAAAUAGUGAGAAUAGAAGACAACACUUAAUAGUUAAAUAGAGCUGAAUUGAAGCCAACACUUCACAGUUAAAUAGUGAGAAUAGAAGUCAGCACUUAACAGUUAAAUAGUGCUGAAUAGAAGCCAGCACUUAACAGUUAAAAAGUGCUGAAUGGAAGCCAACACUUAAAUAGUGCUGAAUUGAAGCCAACACUUCACAGUUAAAUAGUGCUGAAUUGAAGCCAACACUUCACAGUCAAAUAGAGCUGAAUAGAAGCCAACACUUCACAGUAUAAUAGGGCUGAAUAGAAGCCAGCACUUAACAGUUAAAUAGUGCUGAAUUGAAGCCAACACUUCACAGUUAAAUAGUGCUGAAUUGAAGCCAACACUUCACAGUCAAAUAGAGCUGAAUAGAAGCCAACACUUCACAGUAUAAUAGGGCUGAAUAGAAGCCAGCACUUAACAGUUAAAUAGUGCUGAAUUGAAGCCAACACUUCACAGUUAAAUAGUGCUGAAUAGAAGCCAGCACUUAACAGUUAAAUAGUGAGAAUAGAAGCCAACACUUAAUAGUUAAAUAGUGCUGAAUUGAAGCCAACACUUCACAGUUAAAUAGUGCUGAAUAGAAGCCAGCACUUAACAGUUAAAUAGUGAGAAUAGAAGCCAACACUUAACAGUUAAAAAGUGCU
This is a long non-coding RNA of Haliotis rubra (blacklip abalone), 973 nucleotides long. RefSeq lists it as uncharacterized. The record is from RefSeq and is a predicted model, not a curated record. The transcript is spliced from 2 exons. NCBI's taxonomy places the organism in Eukaryota, Metazoa, Mollusca, Gastropoda, Lepetellida, Haliotidae.